GGGCGAUUAGCUCAGUUGGUCAGAGCACCUGCCUUACAAGCAGGGGGUCACUAGUUCAAGUCUAGUAUCGCCCACCA
Molecule: transfer RNA, 77 nt
Filed under: bacterium
Lineage: Bacteria
Also listed under: 1 other name
Description: tRNA-Val
Rfam family: tRNA
About the family: Transfer RNA (tRNA) molecules are approximately 80 nucleotides in length. Their secondary structure includes four short double-helical elements and three loops (D, anti-codon, and T loops).
Source: RNAcentral